GUAGUACUCCCUCCGUCCGGAAAUACUUGUCGGACAAAUAAAUGUAGCUAGAUGUAUUUUAGUUGUAGAUACAUCUAUUUUUAUCCAUUUCUCCGACAAGCAUUUUGGGACGGAGGGAGUACAUU
Molecule: non-coding RNA, 125 nt
Organism: Triticum urartu
Lineage: Eukaryota; Viridiplantae; Streptophyta; Magnoliopsida; Poales; Poaceae
Source: Rfam